RNAcentral lists this ribosomal RNA (301 nucleotides) under uncultured bacterium. RNAcentral's name for it is "partial 16S ribosomal RNA". It matches the Rfam family "Bacterial small subunit ribosomal RNA", at positions 509 to 807 of the family's 1533-position model. The record is from RNAcentral.
CAGUCGCCACGGUAAUGCGUAGGUGGCAAGCGUUGUCCGGAAUUAUUGGGCGUAAAGCGCGCGCAGGUGGUUUAAUAAGUCUGAUGUGAAAGCCCACGGCUCAACCGUGGAGGGUCAUUGGAAACUGUUAAACUUGAGUGCAGGAGAGAAAAGUGGAAUUCCUAGUGUAGCGGUGAAAUGCGUAGAGAUUAGGAGGAACACCAGUGGCGAAGGCGGCUUUUUGGCCUGUAACUGACACUGAGGCGCGAAAGCGUGGGGAGCAAACAGGAUUAGAUACCCGCGUAGUCCCUGUCUCUUAUAC